This 497-nucleotide ribosomal RNA is filed under the name uncultured bacterium. RNAcentral describes it as "partial 16S ribosomal RNA". It matches the Rfam family "Bacterial small subunit ribosomal RNA", at positions 28 to 507 of the family's 1533-position model. The record is from RNAcentral.
GAUGAACGCUGGCGGCGUGCCUAAUACAUGCAAGUCGAGCGAACAGAUAAGGAGCUUGCUCCUUUGACGUUAGCGGCGGACGGGUGAGUAACACGUGGAUAACCUACCUAUAAGACUGCGAUAACUUCGGGAAACCGGAGCUAAUACCGGAUAACAUAUUGAACCGCAUGGUUCAAUAGUGAAAGGCGGCUUUGCUGUCACUUAUAGAUGGAUCCGCGCCGUAUUAGCUAGUUGGUAAGGUAACGGCUUACCAAGGCAACGAUACGUAGCCGACCUGAGAGGGUGAUCGGCCACACUGGAACUGAGACACGGUCCAGACUCCUACGGGAGGCAGCAGUAGGGAAUCUUCCGCAAUGGGCGAAAGCCUGACGGAGCAACGCCGCGUGAGUGAUGAAGGUCUUCGGAUCGUAAAACUCUGUUAUCAGGGAAGAACAAAUGUGUAAGUAACUGUGCACAUCUUGACGGUACCUGAUCAGAAAGCCACGGCUAACUACGUG